This 1611-nucleotide unclassified non-coding RNA is filed under the name Owenia fusiformis. RNAcentral describes it as "misc RNA OFUS_LOCUS21407". The record is from RNAcentral. Lineage: Eukaryota; Metazoa; Annelida; Polychaeta; Sabellida; Oweniidae.
CUGAAAAUACUUUUGCCUUCACCACUGUUCACAGCCGAUUAAAGUCUAAAUAUAACUGGUCAAAUGAGGCUAAUAGAUACAAUAACAGUUAUACUUUCGAGUGAUGGGAUAGUUUAAGACUUUUGCUAUAGCUGUGCAAGCAAGUCACGAAGAUAAGCUAAUUAAGGCUAGAAUAAGGAAAUAAAACAGGGAGAGUCCACAGAUCAAAUGUAUGUGUGUAGACUAGCAUUAUGAUGAAGUCCCAGGUGAACAAAACUCUACUGAGAAAUGUUAUCCGUCACACAGAUGCUCAUAACAAGGUUGUGGAAGAAGCAGAAAUGUGGCGUCAACAUUUAUCUCAAAAAUCAGCAUCCAGGAGCCAAUCAGAUUUCAGAAGCAGAAAGGAAUCAGACACUAGAUCUGGGAACCAAUCAGAAUCUCAAAGCAAGCAUCCAUUAGACCGUGGCGAUGAUCGCUCUUACCUGAAAUACGAUAGCUUUGAUAAGAAAAGGAAAUAUGCAAGACAUGCACACAUGGAUGAUGAAGAUAGGAACAGUCCAAUUAGGGGUGAGAGGGAUAACUACUGGGAGAGACAGCUAUUAGACGCAAAAGAAAAGGACCCAGAUAGAUGGGGUCAUAGUGGUUACAAAGAGCUUUACAAAGAAGACUUCAGUUCUCAAAGAUCAAGCAGGAUAAAUGGCAGUGACUCACCAUUGAAAAGGAAAAAGUCCAAGAAGUCAAAAUUGAAGAAGAAAAAGAAGAAAUCAAAGAAAAGGAAAUUUGAAUCUUAUUCUGACUCUGACAGUGAAAGUGAACUCACACGAUCUGAACAAAGGAAACGUAAACGAAAUUGUCAAUCUGAAGACUCUUCAAGUGCUGAUUCCUCUCAAACCUCCAGAUCUCGGUCAAAAAAUAAAACGUCUAAAAGAUCUCCAAGUUCUAGUCCCGAUCUUGCAAAACUCAAGAGAUGGAAAGAGCACAUUCAUCGUAAAAUUGCAAAGGAGGAACAUUAUGUUAAAAAAGAAAUCAGGAAAAAUCGUGGGAGAAAUCAAAAAUAUUCAUUAAAGGUUAAGCGUGAAACACAAGAUGGUAGUGGUUCAAAUUCAAUGAAAAGGUCAUAUUCAAAAGAGACAUCAGACUCUGAAAGAAGGUCUCACUCUAGAGAAAGGUCAUAUUUAAAUGAAAGGUUCAAUUCAAACAAAAGUUCAACAAAGAGAUUAAAAAAUGCAGUUUCAAAACAAAGGUCAUUUUCAAGAGAAAGGACAUAUUCAAGAGAAAGGUCAUAUUCAAAUGAAAGGUCAUUGAGGAAAACAUCAGUUUCUGAAGGAUCAAAAAGGUCAAAAAGUUUUAGAAAAAGGCAUUAUUCUAGAAGUCCAUAUUCAAGAGAAAGGUCAAUAUCUGACUGACAUUUAAUUUUUUCAUAUUGACCAUAAGAAUUAGGGAUUUCAAGAAAUACUGGAUAAAUUGCAUUUAUUCUGAAUUUAGCUUUGAAUAUUUACUCAGAUAUGUAUUCUAACAUUAUUGGCAUGAUUGUUGACUUAUUUUAGUAAUUGUAGUGAAUUGUAGUGGUAAACUUUUUCUAAAAUUAACAAAGUCAUUUCUGAGCCACAAUAUAUUUUUUUAUCUCAUUUU